RNAcentral lists this ribosomal RNA (266 nucleotides) under uncultured bacterium. RNAcentral describes it as "partial 16S ribosomal RNA". It matches the Rfam family "Bacterial small subunit ribosomal RNA", at positions 88 to 354 of the family's 1533-position model. The record is from RNAcentral.
CCGGCGACCGGCGCACGGGUGAGUAACACGUAUGGAACCUGCCCGCAGCAGGGGGAUAAGCGGAAGAAAUUCCGUCUAAUACCGCGUAACAACGUUGGGAGGCAUCUCCCGAUGUUUAAAGAUUUAUCGGCUGCGGAUGGCCAUGCGGCGCAUUAGCUAGUCGGCGGGGUAACGGCCCACCGAGGCGACGAUGCGUAGGGGUUCUGAGAGAAAGGUCCCCCACACUGGUACUGAGACACGGACCAGACUCCUACGGAAGGCAGCAG